UACAGAGACUGCAAGCGUUAUUCGGAUUCACUGGGCGUAAAGGGUGCGCAGGCGGCCGUGUGUGUCAGGUGUGAAAUACCGGGGCUCAACCCCGGAACUGCGCCUGAAACUACAUGGCUAGAGUAUUGGAGAGGGUAGUGGAAUUCACGGUGUAGCAGUGAAAUGCGUAGAUAUCGUGAGGAACACCAGAGGCGAAGGCGACUACCUGGACAAUUACUGACGCUCAGGCACGAAAGCGUGGGGAG
This 245-nucleotide ribosomal RNA is filed under the name uncultured bacterium. RNAcentral describes it as "partial 16S ribosomal RNA". It matches the Rfam family "Bacterial small subunit ribosomal RNA", at positions 524 to 768 of the family's 1533-position model. The record is from RNAcentral.